RNAcentral lists this transfer RNA (71 nucleotides) under Sinocyclocheilus tingi. RNAcentral's name for it is "tRNA-Ser". Lineage: Eukaryota; Metazoa; Chordata; Actinopteri; Cypriniformes; Cyprinidae. The record is from RNAcentral.
AAGGGGGAACGAAAAAUAGUAAGCACUGCUAAUUCUUACACUCCGCGGUUAAAAUCCGCGGCCCCCUUGCG